GACGAACGCUGGCGGCGUGCUUAACACAUGCAAGUCGAACGAAGAGCGAUGGAAGCUUGCUUCUAUCAAUCUUAGUGGCGAACGGGUGAGUAACGCGUAAUCAACCUGCCCUUCAGAGGGGGACAACAGUUGGAAACGACUGCUAAUACCGCAUACGAUCUAAUCUCGGCAUCGAGGAUAGAUGAAAGGUGGCCUCUACAUGUAAGCUAUCACUGAAGGAGGGGAUUGCGUCUGAUUAGCUAGUUGGAGGGGUAACGGCCCACCAAGGCGAUGAUCAGUAGCCGGUCUGAUAGGAUGAACGGCCACAUUGGGACUGAGACACGGCCCAGACUCCUACGGGAGGCAGCAGUGGGGAAUCUUCCGCAAUGGACGAAAGUCUGACGGAGCAACGCCGCGUGAGUGAUGACGGCCUUCGGGUUGUAAAGCUCUGUUAAUCGGGACGAAAGGCCUUCUUGCGAAUAGUGAGAAGGAUUGACGGUACCGGAAUAGAAAGCCACGGCUAACUACGUG
Molecule: ribosomal RNA, 510 nt
Filed under: uncultured bacterium
Lineage: Bacteria
Description: partial 16S ribosomal RNA
Rfam family: Bacterial small subunit ribosomal RNA
Source: RNAcentral